Molecule: microRNA, 21 nt
Filed under: Gyrodactylus salaris (gyrodactylosis fluke)
Lineage: Eukaryota; Metazoa; Platyhelminthes; Monogenea; Gyrodactylidea; Gyrodactylidae
Description: gsa-miR-9394a-3p
Source: miRBase by way of RNAcentral
UCGCGAUUUCGAUUCCUCCCU